GUGCUUGCUUUGGCAGAACAUAUACUAAAAUUGGAACCAUACAGAGAUUAGCAUGCCCCUGCACAAGGAUGACACAUGAACCUCUCCACAGAAAAGAAAAUCAC
Molecule: small nuclear RNA, 104 nt
Filed under: Catagonus wagneri (Chacoan peccary)
Lineage: Eukaryota; Metazoa; Chordata; Mammalia; Artiodactyla; Tayassuidae
Source: RNAcentral